Molecule: ribosomal RNA, 440 nt
Filed under: uncultured bacterium
Lineage: Bacteria
Description: partial 16S ribosomal RNA
Rfam family: Bacterial small subunit ribosomal RNA
Source: RNAcentral
CCUACGGGGGGCAGCAGUGGGGAAUAUUGGACAAUGGGCGAAAGCCUGAUCCAGCCAUGCCGCGUGAGUGAUGAAGGCCCUAGGGUUGUAAAGCUCUUUUGUGCGGGAAGAUAAUGACGGUACCGCAAGAAUAAGCCCCGGCUAACUUCGUGCCAGCAGCCGCGGUAAUACGAAGGGGGCUAGCGUUGCUCGGAAUCACUGGGCGUAAAGGGUGCGUAGGCGGAUCUUUAAGUCAGAGGUGAAAGCCUGGAGCUCAACUCCAGAAAUGCCGUUGAUACUGAGGAUCUCGAGUUCGGGAGAGGUGAGUGGAACUGCGAGUGUAGAGGUGAAAUUCGUAGAUAUUCGCAAGAACACCAGUGGCGAAGGCGGCUCACUGGCCCGAUACUGACGCUGAGGCACGAAAGCGUGGGGAGCAAACAGGAUUAGAUACCCGAGUAGUC